RNAcentral lists this ribosomal RNA (460 nucleotides) under uncultured bacterium. Its description in RNAcentral is "partial 16S ribosomal RNA". It matches the Rfam family "Bacterial small subunit ribosomal RNA", at positions 338 to 795 of the family's 1533-position model. The record is from RNAcentral.
CCUACGGGUGGCAGCAGUGAGGAAUAUUGGUCAAUGGGUGUAAGCCUGAACCAGCCAAGUCGCGUGAGGGAUGAAGGUUCUAUGGAUCGUAAACCUCUUUUAUAAGGGAGUAAAGUGUGAGACGUGUCCUGUUUUGUAUGUACCUUAUGAAUAAGGAUCGGCUAACUCCGUGCCAGCAGCCGCGGUAAUACGGAGGAUCCGAGCGUUAUCCGGAUUUAUUGGGUUUAAAGGGUGCGUAGGCGGCCUUUUAAGUCAGCGGUGAAAGUCUGUGGCUCAACCAUAGAAUUGCCGUUGAAACUGGGAGGCUAGAGUAUGUUUGAGGAAGGCGGAAUGCGUGGUGUAGCGGUGAAAUGCGUAGAUAUCACGAAGAACCCGGAUGGCGAAGGCAGCCUGCUAAGCCAUGACUGACGCUGAUGCACGAAAGCGUGGGGAUCAAACAGGAUUAGAUACCCUAGUAGUC